UACAGAGGGCUCAAGCGUUGUUCGGAUUCAUUGGGCGUAAAGGGCGCGUAGGUGGCGCUGUAAGUCGGGUGUGAAAUUUCGGAGCUUAACUCCGAAACUGCAUUCGAUACUGCGGUGCUUGAGGACUGGAGAGGAGACUGGAAUUCAUGGUGUAGCAGUGAAAUGCGUAGAGAUCAUGAGGAAGACCAGUGGCGAAGGCGGGUCUCUGGACAGUUCCUGACACUGAGGCACGAAGGCCAGGGGAGCAAACGGG
Molecule: ribosomal RNA, 253 nt
Filed under: uncultured bacterium
Lineage: Bacteria
Description: partial 16S ribosomal RNA
Rfam family: Bacterial small subunit ribosomal RNA
Source: RNAcentral